RNAcentral lists this ribosomal RNA (120 nucleotides) under Pteropus vampyrus (large flying fox). Lineage: Eukaryota; Metazoa; Chordata; Mammalia; Chiroptera; Pteropodidae. The record is from RNAcentral.
GUCUAUGGCCAUGCCACCCUGAAAAAAACGGGAUCCGGCCCGAUCUCGGAAGCUAAGCAGGGUCGGGCCUGGUUAGUACUUGGAUGGGAGAUCACCUAGGAAGACCAGGUGCUGUAGGCG